AAGGUGUUAAUCGCGAGUGC
Molecule: non-coding RNA, 20 nt
Filed under: Gossypium hirsutum (cotton)
Lineage: Eukaryota; Viridiplantae; Streptophyta; Magnoliopsida; Malvales; Malvaceae
Source: RNAcentral